CUUCAUGCUGGUUGUCAAGUCUCUGUGGGUUCCUGAUGGUUAUUAUCUACUCCUCUGACAUGGUUAAAGAUCCAGUUCUAUUUUUAGAGGUUUUCGGAGGUUUUUUGAGUGACAGAUGCAGCAUUCACAUCACAGAUGGGUGAAACACUUAUUUGAGAGGGAGGAGAAAGAGCAACGGAAUGACAUAUUUGAAGGAGUAGGUGACAGAAGAAAUAUCAAGAUGAAUGUCUGCCUUUUUGCUGUGAGCCAGUCUCUGCUGUAAGACUCCUCUAAGGGUUCAUUCAUGUAUGCAGCACUGUCUCUACCUUCUCACCUGGUAUUAAAUGCAUCCAAACUCCUGUUAGU
Apus apus (common swift) is the source of this 345-nucleotide long non-coding RNA. RefSeq lists it as uncharacterized. Lineage: Eukaryota; Metazoa; Chordata; Aves; Apodiformes; Apodidae. The transcript is spliced from 3 exons. The record is from RefSeq and is a predicted model, not a curated record.